CGCCGUACCACCCACAAACAAAUGGUUUGGUGGAAAAACGAAAUGGCACAAUACAAAGGUCCCUGAACAAACUGGUGGAGGGUGAGCCCAAACGGUGGGACCAACUCCUCCAAGGGACGAUGUUUGGUCUGAGAACGAAAACCCAGCUGACCACCAGGUUCAGCCCUUAUUUUCUGAUGUUUGGGAGGGAGGCGAGGUACCCGUCAGAGGUGCCCAAGGAGUAUGAAAUAACGGAAGAGAAAGUCAGCAGCUUGGUGCAAAUGGAGGAAGUCUUCGAGGGACUCAAAAAACAGGAGGCAGUUUUCGCGGAGGUGAAAGGUAACAUAGCAAAAAGCCAGGAUAA
Gymnodraco acuticeps is the source of this 343-nucleotide long non-coding RNA. RefSeq lists it as uncharacterized. The transcript has 3 exons. The record is from RefSeq and is a predicted model, not a curated record. NCBI's taxonomy places the organism in Eukaryota, Metazoa, Chordata, Actinopteri, Perciformes, Bathydraconidae.